GGCCUGGCUACCAGGCUUCGGCCACAGUCUUCCACCAGGAUGUGACUAAAGGCCUGGCCGAGGUCUGCAGGCCACCUGGAGGGCACCUGGAGGGUCAGGAGCGUUGCUGGGGCCUGAGUCUACCCCAAGACCCCUCUGCCUCUCCCCAGGCUGUGAGCUCCCCGAGGAUGACACCCCCUCUGCUUACACCACCUGCAGUUCCUCCAGCCCCGGCACUGGAGGGCCUUAGCCACCGGCACAGCAGCCUCAUCUUCUGGCUGGAUAAACUCACCUCAGAGCCAAGUGGCCCCGGAGAAGCUGCCUCUGUGGCCCGGUCUGCAGGGUGGAGUCACCGUGGGUUCCUCGUAUCAGACAUCCUGCCUGCGGACCAGACACUUGCUCUCCUCCAAGAAGCCUCAAUGUCCAGAGAAGGGAUCCUGCGGUGACCGAGGGACAGGCCUGUCUUCUGGGUCACCACAUCUUGGCAUUUAUUAUUUGCCCCCAGGAAGGUCUGAAGGAUUUUACUUUUAAAAACCAUAGUCGGCUGGGCAUGGUGGCUCACGCCUGUAAUCCCAGCACUUAGGGAGGCCGAGGCGGUGGAUCACCUGAGGUCAGGAGUUCAGGAACAGUCUGACCAACAUGGAGAAACCCUGUCUCUACUAAUACUACAAAAUUAGCCAGGUGUGGUGGUGGGCACCUAUAAUCCCAGCUACUUGGGAGGCUGAGGCAGGAGAAUCGCUUGAACCUGGUAGGUGGAGGUUGCAGUGAGCCGAGAUCACACCAUUGCACUCCAGCCUGGGCAAUAAGAGCGAAACUCUGUCUCAAA
This 805-nucleotide long non-coding RNA is filed under the name Pongo abelii (Sumatran orangutan). Its description in RNAcentral is "lincRNA". Lineage: Eukaryota; Metazoa; Chordata; Mammalia; Primates; Hominidae. The record is from RNAcentral.